GUAGGUGAACCUGCGGAAGGAUCAUUAUUGAAAUAAACCUGAUGAGUUGCUGCUGGUUCUCUAGGGAGCAUGUGCACACUUGUCAUCUUUAUAUCUCCACCUGUGAACCUUUUGUAGACCUGGAUAUCUCUCUGAAUGCCUGACAAAUUCGGGUUUGAGGAUUGAUUUUUUUCUUUCCUUGCGUUUUCAGGUCUAUGUUUUUUCAUAUACCCCAUUGUAUGUUUAUAGAAUGUAAUAAACAGGCCUUUGUGCCUAUAAACUUAUACAACUUUCAGCAACGGAUCUCUUGGCUCUC
Molecule: unclassified non-coding RNA, 295 nt
Filed under: rhizosphere metagenome
Description: partial ribosomal RNA internal transcribed spacer region
Source: RNAcentral